UCAAAUCCGGGUCUUUGGCAUGACAAGAGAACGCUUUAACCACUAGGCUACCCCACCGGCCCUCACACAUUGUGCCCAUGUGGUAGAUCUAGUCUGAUCCUAGUUGUUACAGAAUGAAAUAAAUUAAAAGUCAUAAAUAGAUUCAAGGCUGCUGUCAAUCCUUCAGUCUUGCAGUACUUUCCUAUCAUGUGCUCACACAUUGGUCAACAUCACAAAUUGAUCCAACAAACUGUUUCAUACAUAAAACAUCUACCUCUUCGAGUCAGAUGCAUAAAAACCCCUUGAAGUAAACCUUAUAUAUCGAACCCUCCCUGAGUGUGUGACGUCACAUGCUGUUUACAUAUUGGAGACUCCCUCACUAAUACACUCGAGUGUGUGAUGUGACAUGCUGUUUACAUAUCAGAGACUCCCUCACUCAUACACUUGUGUGUUGUGUGAUGUGACCUGCUGUUUACAUAUCGGACUGUCCCUCACUCAUACACUUGAGUGUUGUGUGAUGUGACCUGCUGUUUACAUAUCGGACACUCCCUCACUCGUACACCCGAGUGUGUGACGUGA
Long non-coding RNA from Haliotis rubra (blacklip abalone), 558 nucleotides. RefSeq lists it as uncharacterized. The record is from RefSeq and is a predicted model, not a curated record. Lineage: Eukaryota; Metazoa; Mollusca; Gastropoda; Lepetellida; Haliotidae. The transcript has 3 exons.